Long non-coding RNA from Octopus sinensis (East Asian common octopus), 93 nucleotides. RefSeq lists it as uncharacterized. The transcript is spliced from 3 exons. The record is from RefSeq and is a predicted model, not a curated record. Lineage: Eukaryota; Metazoa; Mollusca; Cephalopoda; Octopoda; Octopodidae.
UUUGUCUACGUUCUUUUUUCCACUCACCAAAGUGAAUGGAGCUUUGGCCAGGAGGAACUGAUGUCACCAGACGUUUAUUGGUCGUUUGGAUCC